This 691-nucleotide ribosomal RNA is filed under the name Avibacterium paragallinarum. RNAcentral's name for it is "bacterial SSU rRNA". It matches the Rfam family "Bacterial small subunit ribosomal RNA", at positions 1 to 678 of the family's 1533-position model. Lineage: Bacteria; Pseudomonadati; Pseudomonadota; Gammaproteobacteria; Pasteurellales; Pasteurellaceae. The record is from RNAcentral.
UUAAACUGAAGAGUUUGAUCAUGGCUCAGAUUGAACGCUGGUGGCAGGCUUAACACAUGCAAGUCGAACGGUAACGGGUUGAAAGCUUGCUUUCGACGCUGACGAGUGGCGGACGGGUGAGUAAUGCUUGGGAAUCUGGCUUAUGGAGGGGGAUAACCAUUGGAAACGAUGGCUAAUACCGCAUAGAAUCGGAAGAUUAAAGGGUGGGACUUUUUGCCACCUGCCAUAAGAUGAGCCCAAGUGGGAUUAGGUAGUUGGUGGGGUAAAGGCCUACCAAGCCUGCGAUCUCUAGCUGGUCUGAGAGGAUGGCCAGCCACACUGGGACUGAGACACGGCCCAGACUCCUACGGGAGGCAGCAGUGGGGAAUAUUGCGCAAUGGGGGGAACCCUGACGCAGCCAUGCCGCGUGAAUGAAGAAGGCCUUCGGGUUGUAAAGUUCUUUCAGUGGUGAGGAAGGUUGGUGUGUUAAUAGCACACUGAUUUGACGUUAGCCACAGAAGAAGCACCGGCUAACUCCGUGCCAGCAGCCGCGGUAAUACGGAGGGUGCGAGCGUUAAUCGGAAUAACUGGGCGUAAAGGGCACGCAGGCGGUAAAUUAAGUGAGAUGUGAAAUCCCCGAGCUUAACUUGGGAAUUGCAUUUCAGACUGGUUUACUAGAGUACUUUAGGGAGGGGUAGAAUUCCACGUGUAG